AACUGCGAUAGGGGGACAUCGAGUGGCAUCCACCUUGGGUGCCUGUCCCACCGUCUAAAAAACGGUGGUUAGCAAGGGCCGGGCAAGACCGGUGCCAGCCGCCGCGGUAAUACCGGCGGCUCGAGUGGUGGCCGAUAUUAUUGAGUCUAAAGGGUCCGUAGCCGGCUUUGCAAGUCCCCUGGGAAAUCCAGCGGCUUAACCGUUGGGCUUUCAUGGGAUACUACAUUGCUUGGGACUGGGAGAGGUAGGAGGUACUCGGGGGGUAGGGGUGAAAUCCUGUAAUCCCCCGGGGACCACCGGUGGCGAAGGCGUCCUACCAUAACAGGUCCGACGGUGAGGGACGAAAGCUAGGGGCACGAACCGGAUUAAAUACCCGGGUAGUCCUAGCCGUAAACGAUGCCCGCUAGGUGUCACGGCGGUCGUGAAUCGCCGUGGUGCCGUAUGGAAGCCGCGAAGCGGGCCACUUGGGAAGUACGGCCGCAAGGCUGAAACUUAAAGGAAUUGGCGGGGGAGCAC
RNAcentral lists this ribosomal RNA (516 nucleotides) under uncultured archaeon. RNAcentral's name for it is "bacterial SSU rRNA". It matches the Rfam family "Archaeal small subunit ribosomal RNA", at positions 363 to 879 of the family's 1478-position model. The record is from RNAcentral.